AACGAACGCAGGCGGCAUGCCUAACACAUGCAAGUCGAACGAGAUCUUCGGGUCUAGUGGCGCACGGGUGCGUAACGCGUGGGAAUCUGCCCUUUGGUUCGGAAUAACAGUUGGAAACGACUGCUAAUACCGGAUGAUGACGAAAGUCCAAAGAUUUAUCGCCAGAGGAUGAGCCCGCGUAGGAUUAGCUAGUUGGUGUGGUAAAGGCGCACCAAGGCGACGAUCCUUAGCUGGUUUGAGAGGAUGAUCAGCCACACUGGGACUGAGACACGGCCCAGACUCCUACGGGAGGCAGCAGUGGGGAAUAUUGGACAAUGGGCGAAAGCCUGAUCCAGCAAUGCCGCGUGAGUGAUGGAGGCCUUAGGGUUGUAAAGCUCUUUUACCCGGGAUGAUAAUGACAGUACCGGGAGAAUAUGCUCCGGCUAACUCCGUGCCAGCCGCCGCAGUAA
Molecule: ribosomal RNA, 449 nt
Filed under: uncultured bacterium
Lineage: Bacteria
Description: partial 16S ribosomal RNA
Rfam family: Bacterial small subunit ribosomal RNA
Source: RNAcentral